CUUUAGCAAUGUGUACAUUAGAUGUUUAUUUCCCCUAAUUGGGGAACACUGUAGAAAUAACGCCAGCCACUUAAUUAAACUGUAGCAUGGUAAAUUCAAAGCACAUGCACAUAAAAUCCGUGGGAUGUCUACUAAACAUAAAUCAAUUAAAAUGUGUUUGGUGGUUAUGGGUCCUGAUGUAUGUUCAUCAUACCAAUAAGAAAUUUUUGAUAUGAA
Non-coding RNA from Pelobates cultripes (western spadefoot toad), 216 nucleotides. The record is from the annotation of a GenBank genome assembly. Lineage: Eukaryota; Metazoa; Chordata; Amphibia; Anura; Pelobatidae.